AUCACAUAAGGAUCUUAUUAAAAUACAGAUUCUAUUUCAGUAGGUCUGGGGUGGGACCUAAGAGUCUGCAUUUCUAACAAGUUCCCAAGUGAUGCCAG
This 98-nucleotide microRNA precursor is filed under the name Loxodonta africana (African savanna elephant). RNAcentral describes it as "mir-544 microRNA precursor family". It matches the Rfam family "mir-544 microRNA precursor family". The record is from Rfam by way of RNAcentral. Lineage: Eukaryota; Metazoa; Chordata; Mammalia; Proboscidea; Elephantidae.